AAUAAUAUAAUAUUAUUAUGCAAAUUAAAAAUAAUUAAUCAAACUUAAUAAGUCUAAUUAAUUAAAAUAGUGUAUCUCCUUUAAAUAAAAAUCUGCAUAAAUCCAAUUAAAUAAAUUAAUAAAGGCCCAACAGAUUUAAAAAUUAAAAGCCCAGCUGAAACAAAAAUAAAUAAAAUCUCGGCCCAUGACUCGAGCCCACUACUAAUUAAAAUCGGCCCACUCUCUAACAAAGCCCUACCCCAAAGCCCAACCCUCACCCUAGCCCACUGACUCCACCCUCUUAUCUCCCUCAGCCGCACAACACUCACACACACAUAGCAGCUGCGCCUUCCUCUCCCUCUCUCGGCUCCCUGCCACCUCGCGCCGGACGGCAGUGCUGCCGCCGGACGCUGGCGGCUGACUCCGCCUCUCCUCAACUUCUCUCCC
Molecule: long non-coding RNA, 426 nt
Filed under: Salvia miltiorrhiza (redroot sage)
Lineage: Eukaryota; Viridiplantae; Streptophyta; Magnoliopsida; Lamiales; Lamiaceae
Description: long non-coding RNA (SMIL_LNC012585)
Source: RNAcentral